UACGUAGGGUGCAAGCGUUAAUCGGAAUUACUGGGCGUAAAGCGUGCGCAGGCGGUUUUGCAAGACAGAUGUGAAAUCCCCGGGCUCAACCUGGGAACUGCAUUUGUGAAUGCACGGCUAGAGUGCGGCAGAGGGAGAUGGAAUUCCGCGUGUAGCAGUGAAAUGCGUAGAUAUGCGGAGGAACACCCGUAGCGAAGGCGGCACUCUGGGCCGGUACUGACGCUGAGGAGCGAAAGCGUGGGGAGCAAACAGG
Molecule: ribosomal RNA, 253 nt
Filed under: uncultured bacterium
Lineage: Bacteria
Description: partial 16S ribosomal RNA
Rfam family: Bacterial small subunit ribosomal RNA
Source: RNAcentral